CCCAAUAAGAAAGGGACACCAAGAUUUUUUCAGUAGAAGCUCUGAUAAACCCUAAAGUUCAAGAAGACCGUUAAGAAUUCAAGUGAGACGGAAUUUCUGUUAAUUUUUAAUCCCUAAUCUUGAUCCUGAAGCUCAGUUUCGAUAUCAUUGCGAGUUGAAGUAACGAGAUGCCUCGGAAGCCAAAAGGGCAUCGCCGUUCGUUGAGACCUCAGCCGUUAACUUUCUCUCGGUUUGCUCGUUCGGUGGCCCAAGUGGCUUCAGUUCAAAUGGUCAGGAGUCAAACACACAAAGCCAGAACCCAUAGAGAGUCUUUUCCUAAUUCAACCAGUAAUGGAUUUUUUAAUAAGAGUUUGAUAGAAAAGAGUAAUCACUCGGAGUCUUCUGAAGAUGAGGGUUUUGAUGGAGUUGUCCAAGCAGAUUUCGUGUUCUUUGACCCAAAACCAGAUGACUUCCAUGGAGUGAAAAUUUUGCUACAGACUUACCUUGAUGAUGCUCAAUGGGAUUUGAGUGGUUUUGUGGACUUGAUAUUGGGACAGACCAUUGUAGGCACUAUUGUUAAAACAGAGGGUGAUGAAGACGAUUCGCCUUUUUCAGUUGUUACUGCUCUUAGUUUAGGGAGAUAUAAGGAUCAUAAAUGUAUAAUGGAGCUCAAGGAGUAUCUGCUUAAAGUAUGCAGGGAGAAGGAUGUAAUAAAUGACUUGAGGUUACUAUUGGGAGAGCAAGCAGAUGACGUGGGUCUGUUGGUCUCACAGCGUGUGGUUAAUCUUCCUCCUCAGCUUUUACCACCUAUGUAUGAUGCUCUCUUUGAUGAAGUCUCGUGGGCUACAGAAGAUGAGCUGACAAAGGAGCUCCAAGAUUCCUUCCGUUUUAAGUUUUAUCUGCUAGUCUGUAAAAUUUACAAGCAGCUCAAGAAUGUGAGCCGGAAAAAGAAGCUAGGUAGUCGGAGUGAUGAGGAGAUGAUAUAUAUUAAGCCUGAAGAUGAAAUUUUUCACCAGCUAAGCAGUUGGUCCUUCACUUUUCCUAUGCGCGCUCAGCGGGUUGAAACUCAAGAGGCAAGUGAAAUUGUUCUGAAAAAUUACCACUUAACAGGGCUAAUGAUGGUUGUAGAUGCUGAAAAAAUUUCUACAUUCCAACAUCAGUUGCAAUCUUUAAUUGACGAAUCAUGAGACCGAAAGGUGCAGAAUUUUCUUUGUCUAAAGACAUCCUUUUCUUUUCCUUAAGUUCUGCAAAACCUUCCAAAUUUAGCGAUUCAUUUCAAUUUUUUUGACAGGUGUUUUUUAUUUUGUGAAAUACAUACAGUUGCAGACUUUGAACUUCCGGUUUCUUACAAUUUUUCUUGAUUUCCAGUGUAGUACUCCGUUCUAUUAUUUAACCCAAUUUUUUCAUCACUGCUACCAACCACCUGCUUUAGGAUUACAUUUUAUCAGAAUUGAAAUUCGUUAACACUUCAAAAUCUAAAAGCAGGAAAAAUUUUGUUUCCAUUUUUUUAAUACCUUCUAUGUCUUCCCUUUUUUAUGAUUUUCUUCUUGAUAAAAAGUUACGAGUAUCUAAAUUUGUAUGUAUUGCUAUUAACUGAAUUUUUAAAUGUUAUCUUGGUGAACUGCCUUUGAUUUAUUUGGUAGAACUUUUGUGUGUGCUUCUUCCUUCAUGUCUUUCUGUUUAACAAAUAUACAGUUUCUUUAAUCCUUUAAAACUAGUUCUUUAUAAGCCAGGGAUUAGCAAUGGAUUUUUUUUAGAAGUACCAGCGAAUUUUCAUCAUAACUGUUGUUGCUCUCCGUUAUCCAUACAAGGUUUGCAAACUCAGGGCUUCAUGGAAGUGAUCAGAGGAUACCUGGGUGAGCAAUGGUGGCAAUUCUUAUAAGCAUCAUCUGAAGCAAGCUUGGUUAGUACUUCUGAUACUUCUUUGAUAUAGUUCAUUCAAGAAGGAAGUUAAGUUGAAGCUCCAUCUAAAGACCCACCUGCUGUGUUUGAGGACGUAACAGGUAAAAUCUCUUCUUCGUUCAUCUUCUGUUUAUUUUAUCAGAUCGCCAUAUUUGAGAUACUAUAUACACCGUUUAUUGGCUGUGUUUCUUGUGCUUCCGAGUUGUAUUUUUCCGGUAUUAUUAAAUUAUAUAUUUUUAAAAUUUUAA
Molecule: RNA transcript, 2129 nt
Organism: Mangifera indica (mango)
Lineage: Eukaryota; Viridiplantae; Streptophyta; Magnoliopsida; Sapindales; Anacardiaceae
Gene name: protein BCCIP homolog
Exons: 11
Source: RefSeq, a predicted model, not a curated record